RNAcentral lists this long non-coding RNA (1873 nucleotides) under Daucus carota (carrot). Its description in RNAcentral is "long non-coding RNA (DCAR_LNC002080)". The record is from RNAcentral. Lineage: Eukaryota; Viridiplantae; Streptophyta; Magnoliopsida; Apiales; Apiaceae.
UAUAAAGUCCAUACCAUACUACCAGCUUUAAGGAAUGGUACAAGCUGCAUUUAUUGUCUAUUAGUUAAAAGAAAGAUUAUAGCUUGGCACAGUAUAGAUCUUAGCACUUCAAUAAGUAGAUCCUGAAUAAAAAUCUUGUGGACAAUGGGGCGGAAGAGCAAGAAAAGAUUAUCACCUACGCAACAACCAGUCCAUGAAUAUCAUAGCCAGGGACAUAGAAAAUGUCAUCAAUUACAGCGUUUCCAAAGCCCAAUUCCACCUAUGAUAGAUGUCAAUUUCACAGUAUUAGAACACUGAAUGUUGUAGCAAUGUAGGAUCCCUUAAAGAAUAAGAUAUCCGGAAAAAGGCAGUAACUAAAAAAAGAGAAUUUUGUGGAUAGUAAUCACACCUCUGUGGAACCUUUGACUUCAAUGAAUAAAUCAUUAUGUGCAGCACAUACAUUGUAAUUCCCUAUAUUCCAGAAUUUUUUUUAAAAUAACCAGGCCUUUGUAGUGCUACUAAUAAAUAAGGAAUCCUACUAUACUGAAAACUCCUACAGUGAAAAUUAUUACUUGAGAAAACUAUAUGUAAAAUAUAAAACAAGACAUAAAAAUAAAACAAAUUUCAACUAGGUAUGACGGUAUAUCUAGAUGAAUUCUCACCUCUUUAAUCAUAGACAGAUACUCUCCAGCUGGCUGAAAGAGAAACUCAUUGUCCUGCAUGCAAUAAUCACAAUAGCUUUAUAAUCACAAGUGCACCCAUUAGAUGCAAAAGACUGUGCAAAUGAAGCAAACCAGCUGGUCAGGAAGUUUCUCAGGUUUAAUAUGGUCAGCAGGUACUGCAGUAGUGUCUCGUAGCGGGUAUAUAAAGUCCAUACCAUACUACCAGUGAGAGCGAAGCUACUGAGGUACGUACUCUAUUACCGCAUCACAUGAAAUUAUAUAAGAAGUUGAAAGACAGUGAAGUGCCUACAAACUUUAAGGAAAUCUAAAAACAUCAUCAGUAAUUAAAUCACCUAUAUCCCAUGUUGCUAGUUUUAUUUUCUUUCCCCCAACUUGAAAAUACUUUACCUUUAAAUCAAUACCUGCAUAUAUGGAAGAAUAGGAAGAUAUAAAUAUUAAAUACUUAAAAAGCACAAGAAAAACAAUACUACUCAGUAAGAUUUGAAGCCAGCAAACUGUUUUCAACUCAAAACUGGUUGCUGUGAAUAUAUAGUUAGAUAAACACCACAAUUUGAAUUCCCAAUUCCACAAAAUCGACAAUUUCAAGUAAGAUUUUGCAAGAGGCAAAACACAAAUUAUAAUUGAAGCACAAAAACAUAUUUUCUUAUAGAAUUUAAGACUUAUCAGUUUCAACAUGAAAGCGCGUAUCAAAAUGAGACAGACAAGCUUGGAGCUGUUAAACGCAAUACAUACAUCAAACAUCAAACAGAGUCACAAUUGAAGAUCUAAUUUAAAAUUCCCAAUAUAAAUCUUUGACAAAAUCAUAAUCAAAACCCUAAUUUUAAAAUGCUCAAUUAAAAAGCUUCGACAACAUCACAAAUCGAAGCCCAGAUGCGACUCAAACGAAAUCUCAAUUGAAAGCCUAAUCAACAACAAACUCUAAUUGAAACAAACAAUUCGACUUAAUAACAAAUAAAAUCGAUUGAGGGAAGAAAGUUCAGUUUUUUACCUUCAAGCUUGAAAUUAUCCGAGCUUGAGUUUUCCUCAGCUUGAAUGUUCGAUUUGGAGUGUUCCUCGACCGCAAAUCUUCAAGCUUGAAUGUUCCAGGUUAAGUAUUCUUCGAGCUUGAAUCUCCUCUGUCACCGCUGAAUCUCCUCUCUCGCCUCUUUGUCGUCUCCAUGAGUAGCAGGUGUGUUUUUCACUUAGUCUGGGUGUAAAGAAAUGUUUUGGGU